UACGUAGGGUACGAGCGUUGUCCGGAAUUAUUGGGCGUAAAGAGCUCGUAGGCGGUCUGUCGCGUCUGCUGUGAAAACCCGAGGCUCAACCUCGGGCCUGCAGUGGGUACGGGCAGACUAGAGUGGGGGAGAAUGGAAUUCCUGGUGUAGCGGUGGAAUGCGCAGAUAUCAGGAGGAACACCGAUGGCGAAGGCAGUUCUCUGGGCCGUAACUGACGCUGAGGAGCGAAAGCGUGGGGAGCGAACAGG
RNAcentral lists this ribosomal RNA (248 nucleotides) under uncultured bacterium. Its description in RNAcentral is "partial 16S ribosomal RNA". It matches the Rfam family "Bacterial small subunit ribosomal RNA", at positions 524 to 776 of the family's 1533-position model. The record is from RNAcentral.